UGGUUUUGGUAUCAGGGUAAUGGUGGCCUCAUAGGAUGAGUUUGGGAGUGUCCCUUCCCCUGCAAUUUUUUGAAAUAGUUUCAGAAGGAUAGGUAUUGGCCCUUUUCUAAAUGUUUGAUAGAAUUCACCUGUGAAGCCAUCUGGUCCUGGACUUUUGUUUGUUGGAAGUUUUUUAAUCACAGUUUCCAUUUCAGUUCUUGUGAUUGGUCCAUUCUUCUUUUCUAUUUCGUCUUGGUUUAGUCUUGUAAGAUUGUCCUUUUCUAAGAAUUUGUCCACUUUUUCUGGGUUUUCCAUUUUAUUGGCAUAUAGUUGCAUAUAGUAGUCUCUUAUGAUCCUUUGUAUUUCUGUGAUGUCCAUUGUUACUUCUCCUUUUUCAUUUCUACUUUUAUUGAUUUGCAUCUUCUCUCUUUUUUUCUUGAUAAGUCUUGCUAAAGGUUUAUCAGUUUUGUUGAUCUCUUCAAAGAACCAAGAUUUCAUUUCAUUGAUCUUUUCUAUGGUUUUCUUUGUUUCUAUUUCAUUGAUUUCUACUCUUAUCUUUAUGAUUUCUUUCCUUCUACUAACUUUAGGUCUUGUCUGUCCUAUCUUGAGCUGCUUUAGAUAUAAAGUUAACUUGUUUUUUUGAGCUUUUUCUUGUUUCCUGAAGUGGGCUGGUAUUGCUAUAAACAUUUCUGUUAGAUAGUGUUUGCUGCAUCCCAUAUGUUUGGAGUGUUUUACCUUUGUUGUCAUUUGCUUCUAGGGAUUUUUUUAAUUUCCUCUUUGAUUUCUUCAGUGAUCCAUUGGUUGUUUAUUAGCAUGUUGUUUAGUCUCCAUUGUUUGUAUUUUUUGCAUUUUUUUCUUGUUGAUGAUUUCCAGUUGUACAGCGUUGUGGUCAGAAAAGAUGCUUGAUAUGAUUUCAAUUUUCUUAAAGUUACUGAGGUUGGAUUUUUUAGCCCUGGAUGUGAUCAAUCUUAGAGAAUGUUCCCUGUGCACUUGAGAAGAAUGUGUAUUCUUUUGCUUUUGGAUCUGUUUUAAUGCUUCAUUCAGGGCCUGUGUUUCCUUAUUGAUUUUCUGUCUGGUUGAUCUGUCCAUUGCUGUAAGUGGGGUGUUAAAGUACCCUACUAUUAUUGUGUUAUUGUCGAUUUGUUCUUUUAGGUUGUUAGCAGUUGCCUUAUAUAUUGUGGUGAACCUAUGUUGCAGGCAAAGAUAUUUAAAAUUGUUAAAUUUUUAUUUCUUCUUCUUGGAUUGAUCCUUUGAUCAUUAUAUAAUGACCUUCCUUGUCCCUUAAAAUAUUCUUCAUUUUAAGGUCUAUUUUGUCUGAUAUGAGUAUUGCUACUCAAGCUUCCUUUUGAUCCCCGUUUGCAUGGAAUAUUUUCUUCCAUCCUCUCGCUUUCAAUUUAUAUGUGUCCCUAGAAGUGAAGUGGAUCUUUUGAAGACAGCAUAUAUAUGGAUCUUGUUUUUGUAUCCAUUCAGCCAGUGUAUAUCUUUUGGUUGGGGCGUUUAGUCCGUUCACAUUUAAGGUAAUUAUUGAUGUGUAUGUUCUUAUUGCCAUUUUAUUAAUUGCUUUGGAUUUGUUUUUGUUGCUCCUUUUUCUUCCCUUCUCUUGUUCUCUCCUCUUCUGGUUUGAUGACUAUCUUUAGUGUUGUAUUUGAGUUGAUUUUUCUUAUUUGUGUAUCAAUUGUAGAUUUUUGGUUUCCCAUUAUUUUGAAGUUUUGAUAUGAGUAUCUCUCUCUCUAUCUAUAUAUAUAUAUGAGAUUGUUAGAAGUUGUUGGUCUCUUAAUUGCAAGUGCAUCUCCAGUGUCCUGCUUUUGUACCCUCCUCUUCUCAUGGUUUCCGAUUUGGUGGCAUAAUUGUGCAUGGAUGAUUUCAUGUCUUUACUGUAUAUAUACCUUUAUUGGUGAGCCUUGUCACUUCAUUUGUGGUAUUUUUGUUUCUGGUUGUGGCCUUUUAUUUUCUGCCUGGAGAAGUUCCUUUAGUAUUUGUUGUAAAGCUGGUUUGGUGGUGUUGAAUCCUUUAGGCUUUGCUUAUCUGUGAAGCUUUUUGAUUUCUCCUUCAAAUCUGAGUUAGAGCCUUGGUGGUUAAAGUAAUCUUGGUUGGAGGCUUUUUCCUUUCAUCACUCUAAGUAUAUUGUCCCAGUCCCUUCUAGCCUGCAGAGUUUCUGCUGACUAAUCUGCUGAUAACCUUAUCAGGGUUCCCUUGUAUGUUAUUUGUUUCUUUUCCCUUGCUGCUUUCAAUAUUUUCUCUUUGUCUUUAAUUUUGGUCCGUUUGGUUAAUAUGUGUUGUGGGGUGUUCCUCCUUGGGUUUAUUUUUUAUGGUACUCAUUGCACUUCCCGGAUUUGAGUGAGUGGCUCCUUUCCCAUGUUAGGGAAGUUCUUGGCUAUUAUCUCUUUGAAUAUUUUUUUCUGUCCCUUUCUCUCUCUCUUCUUCUGUCACCCCUAUUAUAUGGAUGUUGGUGCAUUUAACAUAGUCCCAGAGUUCUCUGAGACUCUCUUCAUUUCUUUUCAAUCUUUUUUCUGUUUUGAGUUCCACAUCAGUGAUUUCCACUUGUCUGUCCUCCACCUUGCUUAUUCAUUCUUUUGCCUCCUGUAUUCUGCUCUUGGUUGCCUCUAAUGAAUUUUUUAUUUUAGUUAUUGUAUUUUGCAUCUCUCCUUGCUUAAGUUUUAUAUCACAUAUUUCUUUGCUCGGUGUUUCCUGUAA
RNAcentral lists this long non-coding RNA (2673 nucleotides) under Sus scrofa (pig). RNAcentral describes it as "lncRNA (ENSSSCG00030010211.1)". The record is from RNAcentral. Lineage: Eukaryota; Metazoa; Chordata; Mammalia; Artiodactyla; Suidae.